RNAcentral lists this ribosomal RNA (494 nucleotides) under uncultured bacterium. RNAcentral's name for it is "partial 16S ribosomal RNA". It matches the Rfam family "Bacterial small subunit ribosomal RNA", at positions 28 to 507 of the family's 1533-position model. The record is from RNAcentral.
GACGAACGCUGGCGGCGUGCUUAACACAUGCAAGUCGAACGGAAAGGCCUGCUUUCCCUUGUGGAUUGCGAGUACUCGAGUGGCGAACGGGUGAGUAACACGUGAGUGAUCUGCCCCCAACUUGGGUAUAAGCCUGGGAAACUGGGUCUAAUUCCCGAUAGGACUGCAGGGUGGUGCCUGUGGUGGAAAACGAUUUUCUAGUGGUUGGGGAUGAGCUCGCGGCCUAUCAGCUUGUUGGUGGGGUACUGGCCUACCAAGGCGGCGACGGGAAGCCGGCCUGGGAGGGUGGACGGCAACAUUGGGACUGGGAUACGGCCCAGACGCCUACGGGAGGCAGCAGUGGGGAAUAUUGCACAAGGGGCGGAAGCCUGAUGCAGCGACGCCGGGUGGGGGAUGACGGCCUUCGGGUUGUAAACUCCUUUCGACCGCGAGGAAGCCACCUGGUUGGAAGGGUGGUGACGGUAGUGGUAGAAGAAGCACCGGCUAACUACGUG